Molecule: ribosomal RNA, 332 nt
Filed under: uncultured bacterium
Lineage: Bacteria
Description: bacterial SSU rRNA
Rfam family: Bacterial small subunit ribosomal RNA
Source: RNAcentral
GUUUGACGUUAGCUGCAGAAGAAGCACCGGCUAACUCCGUGCCAGCAGCCGCGGUAAUACGGAGGGUGCGAGCGUUAAUCGGAAUUACUGGGCGUAAAGCGCAUGCAGGUGGUUUGUUAAGUCAGAUGUGAAAGACCCGGGGCUCAACCUCGGAAUUGCAUUUGAAACUGGCAGACUAGAGUACUGUAGAGGGGGGUAGGAAUUUCUAGGUGUAGCGGUGAAAUAGCGUAGAGAUCUGAAGGAAUACCGGUGGCGAAGGCGGCCCCCUGGACAGAUACUGACACUCAGAUGCGAAAGCGUGGGGAGCAAACAGGAUUAGAUACCCCUGGUAG